This 557-nucleotide long non-coding RNA is filed under the name Solanum tuberosum (potato). RNAcentral describes it as "long non-coding RNA (STUB_LNC006312)". Lineage: Eukaryota; Viridiplantae; Streptophyta; Magnoliopsida; Solanales; Solanaceae. The record is from RNAcentral.
CCUGCAGUGUCUCAGGCAUCUUCACCUUUUUUCCAUUGAUAAAAUUACACAGGUACAUAACACCAGCAUUUGCAAGCUCCUGUUAUCAACAGUAAGUGCAAUACUUAGUACUGAAUAUCAAUCAAGAUGACUGGGAAAAUAGAUAUUCGCUACUAGUUCCAGAAACCACAUAUUAGACCUUUUUGGCUAUUAAUAAUAAUGAACAGAAUUUGUAGCCUAAUAGCUGAAAUAACAAUUUUUUCAAAUUACCUGCUUGCCUUCCAAAGAAAGUAACUUGCCAUCCUACAAAUUCAAAUAUAGUUGAGACAAAAAGAUCAGUAGGUAACAGAUAUUUUAUGAAAUACAAAUGUCAAUAUAUGUUUACAUAUGGGUAUUAGAAAUUUGAGAAUCCAAAACAAGAGCCUUUUGAUGAAGUGGUUGUGGAGAUAUACUAGUGAGGAAGGAACCCUAUGGAAGGAGGUGAUAGUGGCAAAGUAUGGGGAAUUGAACCCAUGGUGUACAGAGAUAGUGUCAGAACCCUAUGGAUGGGGAGUAUGGAGGUCAAUCAGAGCUUUAUG